UGAGGGAGACCGUGCUUUGCCGUGGUUCGGUGCCGACCGUCACGGGCAGGGUGAUUUCUCCCUCUGUCGUGACGGUGUCUCCGGCAAAGCCGAUCAGAGGCACAGGGACCCCCCUAAGUCGGUCAGUUGACAGUCGCAUUCGGGAGAAGGUCGAGUAAAACAAAAUAUUUGUCGAACUUUCAUUAUCAACAAAAAUUCGUUUUACAUCAUAAUUGGCUAUUGUCGCCGACACAACAAC
RNAcentral lists this long non-coding RNA (238 nucleotides) under Elaeis guineensis (African oil palm). RNAcentral's name for it is "long non-coding RNA (EGUI_LNC081970)". Lineage: Eukaryota; Viridiplantae; Streptophyta; Magnoliopsida; Arecales; Arecaceae. The record is from RNAcentral.